RNAcentral lists this long non-coding RNA (264 nucleotides) under Elaeis guineensis (African oil palm). RNAcentral's name for it is "long non-coding RNA (EGUI_LNC016534)". The record is from RNAcentral. Lineage: Eukaryota; Viridiplantae; Streptophyta; Magnoliopsida; Arecales; Arecaceae.
AUGAGGUCGACUUUCUAAUGAUCUCGAUCUUGUAAUGAGGUUAGCUUUCUGAUGUGGUCAACUUUCUGAUGAGCUCGAUCUCUUGAUGAGGUCAGUCUUCUGUUGAGCUCGAUCUUUUGAUGAGCUCGACCUCCUCAUGAUCUCGAUCUCCUAAUAAGGUCGAUUUUCUGAUGGUUUUAGUCUCCCAAUGAGGAUAGCUUUUCGAUGAGCUUGGCUUUCUUAUGAGCCCUUCUGAUGAGCUUUGCUUUUUGAUGAGGUUGGUCU